AGUCUGAUGGGCAACAGCCAGGCUGAGGGGCAUCUACUGGCCUCUCACAAGUCUAGAGGCUUCCAUUUCCAGAGAGGGGAAGAUCAAAAACACCCCGGAGUGACCUGCCCGUCAGGCAGCUCAUGAAAUCCUGGGGUCAUGGGAUGAGAGCUCUGAUGAGUGAAACCUUUGCUGAUUUCAGGACCAUAUCUACCAUCAUAUUAAUGACUCCUUUCUGGAAAAUGCCCUCACCCACCUGCCUCUCAGUCUGUAUCCUAGAGGGCUGCUGGCUUCAGGUUUCAAACACUGACUUCCAAAUAAGCGGAAUCUCUUCACUGCCUCUUCAUCUUGCAUGCUUUGAUGAAGCAAGCUGCCAUGCUGGAGAGGACUAAUGUGGCAAGAAACUGAGCGUGGUCUCUGGCCAACAGCUAGAAAGGAACCGAGGUCCUCAGUCCAACAACCUGUGAGGAAAAAAUCCAGCCAACAACUAUGUGAACUUGGAAGUAGAUCCUUCCUUAGUCAAAUCUUCAACUAGUCAUAGGAAGACCCACAGAUGGAGGAAGGGCCCACGAGCCGAGGAAUGCAAGGAAUGCAGCUCUAGAAGCUGGAAGAGAUUAGGAGAUGAUUCUCCACUGGAGCCUUCAGAGGGAGUUUGGACCUGCUGACAAAUUGAUUUUGCCCCAGUAAAAAUGAUUUCAGACUUGUGGCCUCCCAGACCACGACAAUAUGUGUGUGUUGUUUAAGCCACCAUGUCUGUGGGGGCUUUGUUACAGCAACUGUAGUCUACUGCAUGGCGAAAUUGUUCCCAGUUCCACAUCUUGCCACAUAAUCCACUCAGCAAAAUGCUCCAUCACGCAGUUAACUGUCUGAAUUGUCUGCUCAGAUGGUACGUUGUAGAAAAGGCAAUUUUCUACCCAGAUCAAGAUUUGGCAGACCACCAGGAAGAUUUAAAGGUUACA
This is a long non-coding RNA of Ailuropoda melanoleuca (giant panda), 938 nucleotides long. RefSeq lists it as uncharacterized. The transcript is spliced from 5 exons. The record is from RefSeq and is a predicted model, not a curated record. NCBI's taxonomy places the organism in Eukaryota, Metazoa, Chordata, Mammalia, Carnivora, Ursidae.